This 233-nucleotide long non-coding RNA is filed under the name Elaeis guineensis (African oil palm). Its description in RNAcentral is "long non-coding RNA (EGUI_LNC054457)". The record is from RNAcentral. Lineage: Eukaryota; Viridiplantae; Streptophyta; Magnoliopsida; Arecales; Arecaceae.
UGCACCUAUUUGAAUUCACGAGAAACAAGUUCUCAUGAAUUUUCUCCCAUGCAGAAGCCUUCCCAUGCCCCACCUGUGUGCACCAUCUGAGUGGAUAAAGAUGGUUGGUUGGUCAUUUAAAUUCAAAUGAAGUUUGAAUUUGAAUGGACAACUAAUCCCAUGCUCCACCUUAUCCACUUGUGCGCCACUUCCUCUGCACGAGAAAAGGUUUCUUGUAUAAACUCUCCAUGCAC